RNAcentral lists this long non-coding RNA (2578 nucleotides) under Musa acuminata (dwarf banana). RNAcentral describes it as "long non-coding RNA (MACU_LNC003224)". The record is from RNAcentral. Lineage: Eukaryota; Viridiplantae; Streptophyta; Magnoliopsida; Zingiberales; Musaceae.
AACGGAAUCGAGUGUACGGUUAGGGGAAGUUGCGAGGAGUGGGAGGCUGAUAUGCGUGUGUUAGUUGGUUCAAUCGAACCAACUAAUCGGGAGCUCGCUGCCGCUGCUACGGUCGGUCCCCUGGUUUAUACUAGGCACUCGCUCGAAGCGCCUGGUGCCUGGGCUCGGGCGAGCGCUUAGGCAAGUGCCCGAGCGCCUUUUUAAAUCAUUGGUCUAAACUAGCUCCUAUCGUAUAAUAAGUUGGAGGCUUCAACUUUGGACCAUGUGAGAAAAGUAUUGAAAUGAUCUAAAACCAAUUAUAACAUUAACACUCGGUGCUUGUGUCCUACCCUAAGCCGCAAGGCUCAAGCGCCUUUAAUUCAUCCUAGGCGAGAGAUUUUGCACAAGUGUCACUUUGACAUGCACCUAGGCGCAUACAUGGCAUGUGCUUGAAACCAUAUCACCUCUGCCCUGGAGCCCGCACAACACCUCUAUUAGCAACCCUAGUCAUCUUGCAAUUGUUAUCCUUUGGUGAUCAACAACACAUGACAAUGUUGACAACAAUGGAUAACCAAAACGAUGAUCAACAACCAACAUGGCUGUGCCUCCCCUCUCGCAAUUGACAACAUGCAACAGUACCUCCCUCCUUCCAUCGUAGGUACCUCUCACUCUCUUAGCUCUCUCCCUCAACCCUUCUUCGAUCACUUUCUCUCAAUUGGGUGAUACAACCCCGCAUUCGUCUACCUACUAGUCAUGAUAGUACAAUAUCACCUCUCAGUGAUUUAAAAAGCGCUAGGCGCCAAGAUCCAAAAAUGCCCGAGGCGCUAAGCGCUUGCUCAAGCGAAGCGAGAUGCUAAAAUAUAAAAAUAUAUAAUAUAAUUAAUAAAUAUAAUUAUUUAAAUAAAAAUAUGAUAUUAAAUUUAAAAAAUCUUACAAUAUCACAUUAACAAAAAAAACUCAAAAUUUAAAACAAUAACAAUAAUUUCAAAUAAAUAAAAAUUAACAGUAUUAAAAUCAAAAUAAUAUAUUAUUAAUCUAAUAAAUAAAAAAAAUAUUGUUACUAGUAUACAAUUAACAGUAUACUGUUAAUAUACUGUUAACAAUAUACUAUUGAGUCGAUGUAAGAAGAGGUAGCAGCGAAUAGCGGGAGCAGGAGAGGCGAGCGACGACAAUGGCAGCGGUAGCAGCGGGAGCGGCGCGCAACGAUAGUGGCAGCGACAGCGGUAGCAACGAGCAACGGGAGCGACGAGCGGUGAUAGUGGCAACGACAGCAAUAGCGACGAGCAGCGACAGCAACAGGAGCGGGAGCGGCGAGCGACGAUAGUGGCAACGGUAGCAGCUGCAGCAAUAGUAGUAGCAGCGAGCAGCGGGAGCGGGAGCGACGACAGUGGCAACAGCAGCGACGAGCAAGGUUAGGGUUGGGUUAGUCACGAGAGGGAUGUUGGGAGGCUGAUAUCGGUGCUUCAGUUGGUUCAAUCGAACCAACUGAAGCAUCGAAGACCAAACCAAAUGUAAAACACUAGUUCGAUCGCCUGGUUUAACCCGGGCACUCGCCCGAAGCGCCCGACGCCUGGGCUCGGGCGAGCGCCUAGCGAUGCAUCUUUGAAGCGAGGCGCCUAGACAUAAAGCGCGGCGCUCGGGCCUCGCCUCUCCCGAGCGCCCGAACGCCUAUUAAAAUCGCUGCCACUUCUCUUAUCUCUUUUGAUAGUAAGCCCCCUUCUCUUUUUUCCUCCUCCCCUCUUCUAUGUUUCUUCUGAUGGCAAACCCCUCCUACCGACGUCACCACGUACAUGUCUCAAACACCAACACCAUACCCUCUAAUUCGUCUUCUAGGACCUUGUCUCUUAGGCCCUAGCCCAACACCCCCUAAUCCCUCUUGUUUGUCUUAAUCUUUCCAUCGCACAACAUGCAACAGUACCUCCCUCCUUCCUCCGUAGGUACCUCUCACUCUCUUAGCUCUCUCUCCCUCAACCCUUCCUCGAUCACUUUCUCUCAAUUGGGUGAUACAACCCCACAUUCGUCUACCUACUAGUCAUGAUAGUGCAGUACCACCUCUUCUCUAUCUCUUUUGAUAGUAAGCCCCCUUCUCUUUCUUCCUCCUCCCCUCUUCUAUGUUUCUUCUGAUGGUACAACCCCUCCUACCAACGUCACCACGUACCUGUCUCAAACACCAACACCAUACCCUCUAAUUCGUCUUCUAGGACCUUGUCUCUUAGGCCCAAACCCAACACCCCCUAAUCCCUCUUUUUUGUCACAACCUUUCCAUCGCCACCCCCUCCCCCUUUUUCCUUCUUCCCCUCCCUCUCUUCAUCUUUAGCACCUCCCUCUUCUACACCUCAAGGACCCCUUCUCUCUUUUCUCAUGCAGCCCCCUACCCAAAUAUUGUUGUUAGCAAUCUAUUUAGAGGCGAGAGGCACUAAAGGCACCAAGGUGUCAAAACACCCGAGGCACUUGGAGCUCACCCAAGCAAAGUGAAGAACCCCCCGAAUACUAAAAUUAAUAUAUAUAUAUAUAUAUAUAUAUAUAUAUAUAUAUAUAUAUAUAUAUAUAUAAUGAUUAAUAAACAUAAUCACUUAAACAAAAAAUGAAACAACAAAUU